UAACCAUAAAGAGAAGGCGAGAGACAAGCUCGAUGAACCUUCAGCAACCUGCCGUAGGGUAAGGUGCUAAAGCUUGAACGAUGGGAC
This 87-nucleotide non-coding RNA is filed under the name Haloplasma contractile. RNAcentral describes it as "SAM-I sequence". It matches the Rfam family "SAM riboswitch aptamer (S box leader)". From Rfam's summary of the family: The SAM riboswitch is found upstream of a number of genes which code for proteins involved in methionine or cysteine biosynthesis in Gram-positive bacteria. The record is from RNAcentral. RNAcentral also lists the same sequence under 1 other name. Lineage: Bacteria; Bacillati; Mycoplasmatota; Mollicutes; Haloplasmatales; Haloplasmataceae.